AUCGCGGCGGGUGCUACACACGCAAGUCGAACGAGAAAGUGGAGCAUCCAUGAGUAAAGUGGCGACCGGGUGAGUAACACGUGGACUAACCUACCUUCGAGUGGGGGAUUACUCGGGAAACCGGGGCUAAUACCGCAUAAUAUCUUCGGGAUGAGAAGCCGAAGAUCAAAGGAGCAAUUCGCUGGAAGAGGGAGUCGCGGUGAUUAGCUAGUUGGCGGGGUAAUGGCCACCAAGGCUUUGAUCGGUAGCCGGCCUGAGAGGGCGCACGGCACACUGGAACUGAAACACGGUCCAGACUCCUACGGGAGGCAGCAGUGGGGAAUUUUGCGCAAUGGGGGAAACCCUGACGCAGCAACGCCGCGUGGAGGAUGAAGUCCCUUCCGACGUAAACUCCUUUCGACCCGGACGAUAAUGACGGUACGGGUGGAAGAAGCCCCGGCUAACUUCGUGCCAGCAGCCGCGGUAAUACGAGGGGGGCAAGCGUUGUUCGGAAUUAUUGGGCGUAAAGGGCGCGUAGGCGGUGCGGUAAGUCACCUGUGAAAUCUCCGGGCUUAACUCGGAGCCUGCAGGCGAAACUGCCGUGCUUGAGUGUGGGAAGGUGCGUGGAAUUCCCGGU
Molecule: ribosomal RNA, 616 nt
Filed under: uncultured bacterium
Lineage: Bacteria
Description: bacterial SSU rRNA
Rfam family: Bacterial small subunit ribosomal RNA
Source: RNAcentral